Molecule: ribosomal RNA, 486 nt
Filed under: uncultured bacterium
Lineage: Bacteria
Description: bacterial SSU rRNA
Rfam family: Bacterial small subunit ribosomal RNA
Source: RNAcentral
UAGCUAUUUAGGUUAGAGUUUGAUCCUGGCUCAGAGCGAACGCUGGCGGCAGGCUUAACACAUGCAAGUCGAGCGGGCGCAGCAAUGCGUCAGCGGCAGACGGGAGAGUAACACGUGGGAACGCGCCCUUCGGUUCGGAACAACACAGGGAAACUUGUGCUAAUACCGGAUAAGCCCUUACGGGGAAAGAUUUAUCGCCGAAAGAUUGGCCCGCGUCUGAUUAGCUAGUUGGUGAGGUAAUGGCUCACCAAGGCGACGAUCAGUAGCUGGUCUGAGAGGAUGAUCAGCCACAUUGGGACUGAGACACGGCCCAAACUCCUACGGAAGGCAGCAGUGGGGAAUAUUGGACAAUGGGCGCAAGCCUGAUCCAGCCAUGCCGCGUGAGUGAUGAAGGCCCUAGGGUUGUAAAGCUCUUUUGUGCGGGAAGAUAAUGACGGUACCGCAAGAAUAAGCCCCGGCUAACUUCGUGCCAGCAGCCGCGGUAAU